RNAcentral lists this ribosomal RNA (468 nucleotides) under uncultured bacterium. RNAcentral's name for it is "partial 16S ribosomal RNA". It matches the Rfam family "Bacterial small subunit ribosomal RNA", at positions 28 to 507 of the family's 1533-position model. The record is from RNAcentral.
GACGAACGCUGGCGGCGUGCUUAACACAUGCAAGUCGAACGGAAAGGCCCUGCUUUUGUGGGGUGCUCGAGUGGCGAACGGGUGAGUAACACGUGAGUAACCUGCCCUUGACUUUGGGAUAACUUCAGGAAACUGGGGCUAAUACCGGAUAGGAGCUCCUGCUGCAUGGUGGGGGUUGGAAAGUUUCGGCGGUUGGGGAUGGACUCGCGGCUUAUCAGCUUGUUGGUUGGGUAGUGGCUUACCAAGGCUUUGACGGGUAGCCGGCCUGGGAGGGUGACCGGCCACAUUGGGACUGAGAUACGGCCCAGACUCCUACGGGAGGCAGCAGUGGGGAAUAGUGCACAAUGGGCGGAAGCCUGAUGCAGCAACGCCGCGUGCGGGAUGACGGCCUUCGGGUUGUAAACCGCUUUCGCCUGUGACGAAGCGUGAGUGACGGUAAUGGGUAAAGAAGCACCGGCUAACUACGUG